AGGCUUUGAUCCUGGCUCAGAUUGAACGCUGGCGGAAUGCUUUACACAUGCAAGUCGAACGGCAGCACGGGUGCUUGCACCUGGUGGCGAGUGGCGAACGGGUGAGUAAUAUAUCGGAACGUACCCAGUAAUGGGGGAUAACUAGCCGAAAGGUUAGCUAAUACCGCAUACGCCCUGAGGGGGAAAGCGGGGGACCGUAAGGCCUCGCGUUAUUGGAGCGGCCGAUAUCUGAUUAGCUAGUUGGUGGGGUAAGAGCCCACCAAGGCGACGAUCAGUAGCUGGUCUGAGAGGAUGAUCAGCCACACUGGAACUGAGACACGGUCCAGACUCCUACGGGAGGCAGCAGUGGGGAAUUUUGGACAAUGGGGGCAACCCUGAUCCAGCCAUUCCGCGUGAGUGAAGAAGGCCUUCGGGUUGUAAAGCUCUUUCGCAAGGGAAGAA
RNAcentral lists this ribosomal RNA (441 nucleotides) under uncultured beta proteobacterium. RNAcentral describes it as "bacterial SSU rRNA". It matches the Rfam family "Bacterial small subunit ribosomal RNA", at positions 8 to 449 of the family's 1533-position model. Lineage: Bacteria; Pseudomonadati; Pseudomonadota; Betaproteobacteria. The record is from RNAcentral.